UACGAAGGGUGCAAGCGUUACUCGGAAUUACUGGGCGUAAAGCGUGCGUAGGUGGUUCGUUAAGUCUGAUGUGAAAGCCCUGGGCUCAACCUGGGAAUGGCAUUGGAUACUGGCGAUCUAGAGUGCGGUAGAGGGCAGUGGAAUUCCCGGUGUAGCAGUGAAAUGCGUAGAGAUCGGGAGGAACAUCUGUGGCGAAGGCGGCCAACUGGGCCGACCCUGACGCUGAGGCGCGAAGGCGUGGGGAGCGAACGGG
Molecule: ribosomal RNA, 253 nt
Filed under: uncultured bacterium
Lineage: Bacteria
Description: partial 16S ribosomal RNA
Rfam family: Bacterial small subunit ribosomal RNA
Source: RNAcentral